GCCCCAGUGGCCUAAUGGAUAAAGCAUCGCCCUCCUAAGGCGAGGAUUGUGGGUUCGAGUCCCACAUGGGGCA
Molecule: non-coding RNA, 73 nt
Organism: Bradysia coprophila
Lineage: Eukaryota; Metazoa; Arthropoda; Insecta; Diptera; Sciaridae
Source: the annotation of a RefSeq genome assembly